UACGUAGGGUGCAAGCGUUAAUCGGAAUUACUGGGCGUAAAGCGUGCGCAGGCGGCUAUGCAAGACAGAUGUGAAAUCCCCGGGCUCAACCUGGGAACUGCAUCUGUGACUGCAUCGCUGGAGUGCGGCAGAGGGGGAUGGAAUUCCGCGUGUAGCAGUGAAAUGCGUAGAUAUGCGGAGGAACACCGAUGGCGAAGGCAAUCCCCUGGGCCUGCACUGACGCUCAUGCACGAAAGCGUGGGGAGCAAACAGG
This 253-nucleotide ribosomal RNA is filed under the name uncultured bacterium. RNAcentral describes it as "partial 16S ribosomal RNA". It matches the Rfam family "Bacterial small subunit ribosomal RNA", at positions 524 to 776 of the family's 1533-position model. The record is from RNAcentral.